Molecule: long non-coding RNA, 2069 nt
Organism: Onychostoma macrolepis
Lineage: Eukaryota; Metazoa; Chordata; Actinopteri; Cypriniformes; Cyprinidae
Exons: 3
Source: RefSeq, a predicted model, not a curated record
GACCAUUGCACCAAUCGGUCUUUUCAACCGUGUCCAUUCUGGCACUAUCUAUGCCCACAUACACACUCACACAAAUUAAGCUUUGUCAUUUAAAUCCAGCUUAACAGAAUUUUGCUCAUAUAUUUAGAAAGCUUUUGGCACAAAGCAAAUAUGGAAUUAAUUAGAAAAGCUGUUACAUAAAUCACUCUAAAGUUUGGAGUUGUUUACAAGCCCCUGACCUCUAAACUGUGUCUCUCAUCUCACUGCCAGCUCCAUCAGGAUGAUUCCAGCACCGCUCCUGAUCCGCACAGCAGUGUGUCAGUGCAAGACAAUCUGUGCAGCUGGAAACCUGCCUCCAGUGUUCAGAACUUGACACACUUCACCCUGUGUCCUAAUCAGCGAUGUGAUGUUUGCAGCAAAUGUUUCCAGUGACAAAGAGAAGAAAACCCUUGUAUAUCUUCAUAAUAUCUUCUUUUGUGUUCCAUAGAAGAAAGAAAAUCAUUUUGGAAUUGCAUGAGGAUCUGACUUGAGGCGGUAAAACAAGAUAGUUAGCAACGAUUCCCCACUGAGAUUAAAGCAGACGGUAUCUAAUCAUCUGCUUUGCAACAUGCACGAUUUUAAAGCUAGUUCUGUUUUUUUAUGGCGCCAGGUCAACGCAAAGUUGAAAGCAGGAUCAAAGAUUGUCCAGCACACAUGCAUUCACAAAAUACACAGAGACAGCAGCUCUAACAAGCAUCUUGUUAUCAUGUUCAUUAGAUUUAGUUGCAGAGAGAAAGUGUUGCUUGUUAUAUUGGGAUUUACAGUACAUAUACACACAGAGUCAAGUUUUCAGAUUUCAAAGAGUCACUUAUUUAUUUUGACCAUAAUAUCAUCAUCUUUUAUGUUUUGCUAGUUUACUCUCAUGCAUUAUGUUUUCCAGCAGUCGUGGUUCAGCACGUAUUCAUGCUCCAGGAAAUGAAGAGCUUUGGGAAAAUCAGCUGGGGGUCUCUUACUAGCCUCCCGAAAUCAUGAAGCUUAUCUUGUUUUGUUUUAUUAUGUCAAGUUCAGCUAAUCAGUGAGUUCAAACCAGCGUCUGCUCAGACCACCAGAAUGAAACACUAAAACUGAGAUCUGAUAGCAAACUCAGGUCAAAAUGAAGGUUCUUCAUGGUUUCUUGCCCAUAGCUGUGUAAUUCUGUAUGUUAAAAUGCUCUCUCAUAUCUCAGUUUUGUGUUCUGACUACCUAUAAGCCAGCCAUUGUUAGUUGGAUGUACUGAAGAGUGAAAAACUCUGACGCAUUCAAAGCAUUGAUCUGUUUAUUUGAGCAAGCCAAUAUGACAACAACUGAGUCCACCAAUGACGUAAGCUUGAGGAAGAUUCCUGUUAGAUACCCUUUAAUUUGAGAUGCAGAGACAAUUAUACGUAAGCCUUUCAUAGGUCGACCUCUUGACAUCAUCUCGACCAGCCCAACAAUUUGGUAUGAGUCAAUCUAUUUGUCCAACCAAUUUGAUGAUGCUAGUGGUGCAGACGUUACACACUUCACUUUUAAUGUAUCAGUUAUAUCUACUAGACUGCGAUGAGAAAACAGGAAAGGAACUGGGGGCUUUUGAAUAAUACGUUCCAUAUGUUUUUCCAAGGAAACUGACCCUAUAGUAAUCUCAUGUCUCCUUCAGAGUUUUAGAAGAGAUCUCAAGAAUGCCAUCAAAGGUUGAAGAUCUCAAAUGAAAACAUUUCUCAUUGAAUACCUAGACCUAAUGAUCAUCUGAACUACUACAUCAACAUUAGAUGAAUAUUGACUAAGCAUCAACUAAUUUGUGUCUAUUUUAUCCGUCCUUAGGCAUUUUAGGAGAAACAUCUUAAGUUCAUCCUCUACUGAAGCGUAAUGAAGAAUUCUAUUAAGUCUCGCAGCAUUUUUUUUUCUCUCUGGGUAGGUCCAAAGAAACAUCUUAUCAACAACCGUUUUUGGCUGUUUAGGGUUCUUGAGUUUCUCUUUGCAUUUUAAAAGUUCUUCAUAUCAGUUUUUGGGUUUUUAAGCAACAGGGCACAGAUGGUUUUCUAAAGAAUUAUAAUGAAAAGGACUUUAUGGAACUUCAAAUGGUAUACACCCCUUUG